UACGUAGGGGGCAAGCGUUGUCCGGAUUUAUUGGGCGUAAAGAGCGUGUAGGCGGCCAUACAGGUCAGCUGUGAAAACUCGAGGCUCAACCUCGAGACGUCGGUUGAAACCGUAUGGCUAGAGUCCGGAAGAGGAGAGUGGAAUUCCCGGUGUAGCGGUGAAAUGCGCAGAUAUCGGGAAGAACACCCGUGGCGAAGGCGGCUCUCUGGGACGGUACUGGCGCUGAGACGCGAAAGCGUGGGGAGCGAACAGG
RNAcentral lists this ribosomal RNA (253 nucleotides) under uncultured bacterium. RNAcentral's name for it is "partial 16S ribosomal RNA". It matches the Rfam family "Bacterial small subunit ribosomal RNA", at positions 524 to 776 of the family's 1533-position model. The record is from RNAcentral.